AAUCAACGCUGGCGGCGUGCCUCAGACAUGCAAGUCGAACGAUUAAAGCUCUCUUCGGAGAGUGUAUAGAGUGGCGCACGGGUGAGUAACACGUAAGUAAUCUACCUUCGAGUGGGGAAUACCGUCCGGAAACGGACGCUAAUACCGCAUAAUGCAGCGGCGUCGUAAGAUGACAGUUGUUAAAGAUUUUAUCGCUUGAAGAGGAGCUUGCGGCAGAUUAGCAGUUGGUAAGGUAAUGGCUUACCAAGGCUACGAUCUGUAACCGGUCUUAGAGGACGGUCGGUCACACUGACACUGAAUAACGGGUCAGACUCCUACGGGAGGCAGCAGUCGGGAAUUUUGGGCAAUGGGCGAAAGCCUGACCCAGCAACG
RNAcentral lists this ribosomal RNA (372 nucleotides) under uncultured bacterium. RNAcentral's name for it is "bacterial SSU rRNA". It matches the Rfam family "Bacterial small subunit ribosomal RNA", at positions 32 to 396 of the family's 1533-position model. The record is from RNAcentral.